This is a long non-coding RNA of Macaca mulatta (Rhesus monkey), 2457 nucleotides long. RefSeq lists it as uncharacterized. Lineage: Eukaryota; Metazoa; Chordata; Mammalia; Primates; Cercopithecidae. The record is from RefSeq and is a predicted model, not a curated record.
UAGAAGUAGAUAUUUUUAAACAGAAAUAUUUGGUUCAAUUGUUGUUGUGAAAAUAAAUCCUUCUUUUAUUGCCAUCCUCAUAUAUAAGCCAGUAUUUUAAUGGUAAAAACUGUGCUGAGGAAAACACAUACGUAUAUUUACCGUAGCAUAUACUUUCAAACAAGUAUGUCAGCUUUUUAAUGGUCUGGGCCAUGAUGCCGAACUUGGGGAGAAAAGAAACAGAGCAACUUGCCCUUCAUCUGGUAAAUCCAGGCAGCAGGGCGUUAGGAAGCCGGAGCCGCUGACUUCAGGGGGCGGUUGUGGAGGGAACCGAAGCUGCCCCAGGACUCAUUACCCCCAGCGUGUGUGUCAGGCCCAGGAGGAGUUGAGCUUGGCCAUCUCCUCUAGCCCUGACAUGUUCAAGUCUAGGCGUUAGGAUCUGAGGGUGAGGUUGGAAGGCUCCCACAUCAACAGAAGCUGGGAUGCUAUCAGCAACUCAGAACCGAAACCCCUGCAAGUGUCAGGCUCUUCCGGUGAUUUGUUGCACAUUAAGUUUGUCCGGCAAGGUGUUCACCUGGCCCUGGAGAAGGACAUGAAAGGUGGACAUCUGCGGCCAUCAACGCCACCCCCUUGUGAUCCCCCUUUCUUCUCCCUCCUGUGAUGCCCCACUGUGAGGAGCAUCCUUCCCAUCCACAGUGAAACAGAUCUCCAGAUUGCCCAGGAAGCUGUUGGAAGGAUUGCACAUUUGCUUCUCCCUUUAUUGUUUACUCCUUCUGGAAGAAAGAGCCUGUGUUUUUAGCUUUUAUUUUAUUUUAUUUCUCUUAUUUCCUGGAAUCAAGCAUUGAGCUUAGUAGGUGCUCAGUACAGCACUGAUGACUAAGCAAAAAUAAUCCAGGCAAGAAAAUAACUAUCACCACCGCCCACCCCCUCUAGCAAUUUCGGCAGAUUCUGACAUAAGUAGUGUGAAGUUGGAUCCCCCAGGCAAUAACCUAGAAGCCCGUCCAACGAGCUGCCCUCAUCUCCAAUUCCAUGGGGUUAGGAAAUGCGUUCCUCCUCCGGGCUGAUUUCCAUUCCACAGGGGCCCAGUGCCCUGGUCUUGGUGAGCCCUCAGCGACCCACAGGCUAAUACUUUCUCUUCCUGGUUCCUUUUACUGUGUUCCUGCUUUCAAAAAUCUAAGCAAAGUGUGUGCAUUAGAAACCCUUCAUUCUCUUUCAUCAAAGGAACCUGGCGGUUUCUGCAUUUGUUUAAAACAAAAAAGUAAAUCAUGAACUUUUACUUGACUACAUAGAUCAAAGAUUCUCUUGAAAGUCCAACUGAUCUCAAGUUAUUCUUAAUUAUUUAUAUUUCUAGAUCUGAAUAAAAGGCUGCAAAACACACCCCAAAAGUUUUCUGUUUACAUUAUCAACCCUCAGCACCAAGGCAGCCAUGAAGUGCUUUUUGUUCUUUUCUCCCUUAAUGGCCAUAUGACCAGGAAGGUGGUCUUAACAUGCCAUCGAUCAUAUCUGAGUGGCAAAUGCAGCGCUGGCCCGGCCAGCCCAGAGCGUAUCACUGUGAGCCGCAGUGACACACAUUCAUUUCCGUUGGAGGCAGCCCUAGGGAGUCCGGCGGCCCUGCAGUUGUAUUUCAUCUCUUUGAACUGUGUGGCCUCCCCUAUAAUUCAGGAAAUGAGUUUACUCUAUCUGUGACAAGCAUCAUGUUCACACAGUUUUGGGAGCGGCCAGCGUGGUGCAGGGCUGUAUGGGAAUGGAGGUGGCAGGCGUUUGCCAACCCUGGGGAGUACACCGACGGUACUUCCUCUCCCACUGCCGAGUGCUCCACUUGACUGUGACUCUCAGCACACCUGUUGCCUGAGAAAGUGUGCUUUAUCCCCAUGUGCUGGAAAUCUCUGGCUGUAAUCUAACAUGAUAUGAGUGAGUCAGUUUCUUAGACAGCGUGCUUCUUGAAACAGCAAGGCCUCUCAGUUGAUCACCCCUCAGCGCCCCUGAAGCUGUAGAGUUGAUGCGUCUUUUGACCAUGCCUUUUUUUUUUUUUUUUUUUUGGUGGUAAACUUUGGCCCGUCUUUUGGUUAUUAUUAAACUAGCAUUCAUUUGGUGUGCAUAGUCUCUGCUGGACCAGGUUAAAACAAGCGCAGAUUGUUACGGGAAGAGGGCUCUGGUCAGCGCGGAGUGUGCAUACACUCGGAUCAAGGAAAGGAAUGCCAGAGCCAGCCCAGCAUCAAAAUACACUGCAAGAUGGUGAUGGGUGUGCCUGGUGCCGGGCAGAGAUGUUUCCAAGGUCCCAGUGGAACUUUUCCCCUACAGCCUUUUCACUGGGACACCAGCUUUCUGUGGAUACUCCUGAAAGCCUGGGCUAAGUUCUUCCACCAGGAAGUGUUCAAGACUGCAGUUCACAAGCAAAGUCCUUGGCACAUAGGCCAAAUGAAUGUGAUUGAAUGAAUGUUUUCCUUCUAAAUAAAACACUUUCAUUUUGCUAAUGGA